This 1506-nucleotide long non-coding RNA is filed under the name Leguminivora glycinivorella. RNAcentral describes it as "uncharacterized LOC125227171, transcript variant X2". Lineage: Eukaryota; Metazoa; Arthropoda; Insecta; Lepidoptera; Tortricidae. The record is from RNAcentral.
UUCAGAGGUUACGCAUCUCCAUAGUUUCUAACGUAUUAAGCUGCAAGUAGAUGGAUGGAUAAAUGGAAAACGUAAUGCAGUAUAAAUUCACAACACUGAGCCCUAGAAUGCAGUUUAAAGUAUAAAAACAUACCGGUAAAAUUCUGAUGCCGGAACUGAUGCACUAGUUUGCUAUUUUACACAUAUUUCGUAGCCAUAUGGCCCUGCAAUUUUAAGCUGUACUUCCCUUGUAUUACACCACACAGUUUUAAUCUCAUUUGGUUUAGUAUUCACUCACUUUUCGUAAUAAAUUCACUUUGUUUGGAGACCCUGCGUGGGUUAGAUGUGUUCUGUCACUUCUGACAGUUUGACGUUUAUAAACUGGUUGGGGAAGAUUUGAGUCACAUAAAUACCCGUUCAAUGAAAGUUUUUUUUUUCUUGUCGGAGAAAAUCUGAUUUCAUUUUCAUUAAGAUAAAUUAACAUUAUAACAUGUAAAGUAAUUCUAGGAUAUUGGUUUGCAAUAAAAUUUAGCUAAUAGUUUGGUUUUGUUUUUCUUCUGCGGCGUUAGUCGUGUUCUCAUUUGUCUAUGAUAUGGUCAUUAGCAAAGGUGACUAUUUGCAUUACGGGGUUGAAGAUUCGUUUAAUGUAAGUUAAUUUCUUCUUUCCAUACAAAAAUACUUAGAAUUUUAAAAUGAGGGGUAUGUUGUUAUUUGUCUUAAUUUUUGGUGAAAGUUUUCACAAUCUAAUAUUUCCUUUUCUUUGGUUGGAUACGUGGCUAAGGUCUCGGGCCACCAUUAAAAUAUUGUGAUUGCCUGAAGUGAAUCGCAGUUGGAAGGAUGUGAAAUAAUAAAUUGAUAAUAUCCCAGGCAAUCCAUUCAUUCCGGGCCGAGCCCGUUAAACUCGAUUUUAACCUAAAAAUGUGAGCCGUCCUUACAAAGAAAAGUAAACAGCCAGUUUUAUUUCGCCUUCAAUCUCUUCCCAUCGCUGCCACGUGAGAACGUGACGGUGACAUCCAGAGGAAAAUAAGGAAAACACCCAGCCUUUCUGGUAAGUGGUUUUAUCUCUGUUACACCAAAAACCCCUAAAAGCAACCCCGCGAUUAAAAAUAUAGAAUUAAUUAAAACAACAAGUUACCGAUUUCCAAAAUUAUCUCACCUGGUUAUUUUGUUUGUCCACCAGGGUGUUUUUAUCCGGGUAUAUGUUCCACAUACUAUCCUGCUACUAUCCUGGUAUUAUGUCCUGAACUGGAGUUAGCAGUUUGCUGCCAAAACUACUCGUGAGAGAAACCGCCCAAGUUUGUGAAACGGAUUAAUACCUAGGAUAUUUUACAUUUAUAACAUAGCAUUUUUAAUUAAGGAUAUCCAUCCAGGAAUAAGACCAAUAUAAUUUUGUGGAGCGAUAUAAAUAUAUAUAUUUCCUGUAAUAAAACUUAAAUUAAAUACUUCCACCUCCGUUAGACUGUACGGUGGUGAUAGAAAAUAAGAACUUAGUGAAGGUUGUUCUUACAAUAAAUUAAUUAAAUUAGU